AUCGCUUCUCGGCCUUUUGGCUAAGAUCAAGUGUAGAAGUGGUCUAAACCAAGAGCAACAGUGUGCUGCAAAAUGUGAGAAUCAUGAAACUUUUCCUCAAUUUCAACAAUUUUGAGAGCAAUGAGACCUUGUUUCUUUUGUGAAUUCUAAAUAUGUAAUAUAUUAAUACCUAUUAAUAUUGAAUUAAU
Molecule: small nuclear RNA, 188 nt
Organism: Artibeus jamaicensis (Jamaican fruit-eating bat)
Lineage: Eukaryota; Metazoa; Chordata; Mammalia; Chiroptera; Phyllostomidae
Product: U2 spliceosomal RNA
Exons: 1
Source: RefSeq, a predicted model, not a curated record